This 498-nucleotide ribosomal RNA is filed under the name uncultured bacterium. RNAcentral describes it as "SSU rRNA". It matches the Rfam family "Bacterial small subunit ribosomal RNA", at positions 26 to 521 of the family's 1533-position model. The record is from RNAcentral.
AGAUUGAACGCUGGCGGCGUGCUUAACACAUGCAAGUCGAGCGGUAACGCGGGAGCAAUCCUGGCGACGAGCGGCGAACGGGUGAGUAAUGCUUGGGAAUCUGCCCAUUAGUGGGGAACAACCAGCCGAAAGGUUGGCUAAUACCGCAUACGCCCUACGGGGGAAAGCGGGGGAUCGUAAGACCUCGCGCUAAUGGAUGAGCCCAAGUCGGAUUAGCUUGUUGGUAGGGUAACGGCCUACCAAGGCGACAAUCCGUAGCUGGUCUGAGAGGACGACCAGCCACACUGGGACUGAGACACGGCCCAGACUCCUACGGGAGGCAGCAGUGGGGAAUAUUGGACAAUGGGGGAAACCCUGAUCCAGCGACGCCGCGUGUGUGAAGAAGGCCUGCGGGUUGUAAAGCACUUUUAGUGGGGAUGAAAGCCUAGGGUUAACACCUCUGGGUCUUGACCUAACCCACAGAAAAGCACCGGCUAACUCUGCGCCAGCAGCCGCGGU